GACGAACGCUGGCGGCGUGCCUAAUACAUGCAAGUUGAGCGCUGAAGGUUGGUACUUGUACCGACUGGAUGAGCAGCGAACGGGUGAGUAACGCGUGGGGAAUCUGCCUUUGAGCGGGGGACAACAUUUGGAAACGACUGCUAAUACCGCAUAAAAACUUUAAACACAAGUUUUAAGUUUGAAAGAUGCAAUUGCCUCACUCAAAGAUGAUCCCGCGUUGUAUUAGCUAGUUGGUGAGGUAAAGGCUCACCAAGGCGAUGAUACAUAGCCGACCUGAGAGGGUGAUCGGCCACAGUGGGACUGAGACACGGCCCAAACGCCUACGGGAGGCAGCAGUAGGGAAUCGUCGGAAAUGGACGAAAGUCUGACCGAGCAACGCCGCGUGAGGGAAGAAGGUUUUCGGAUCGUAAAACUCUGUUGGUAGAGAAGAACGUUGGUGAGAGUGGAAAGCUCAUCAAGUGACGGUAACUACCCAGAAAGGGACGGCUAACUACGUG
This 497-nucleotide ribosomal RNA is filed under the name uncultured bacterium. RNAcentral describes it as "partial 16S ribosomal RNA". It matches the Rfam family "Bacterial small subunit ribosomal RNA", at positions 28 to 507 of the family's 1533-position model. The record is from RNAcentral.